UACGGAGGGUGCAAACGUUGCUCGGAAUCAUUGGGCGUAAAGCGCACGUAGGCGGUUCGCUAUGUCGGAUGUGAAAGCCUCGGGCUUAACCCGAGAAGGGCAUCCGGAACUGGCGAGCUUGAGUACGGAAGAGGGUCUCGGAAUUCCCGGUGUAGAGGUGAAAUUCGUAGAUAUCGGGAGGAACACCAGUGGCGAAGGCGGAGACCUGGGCCGAUACUGACGCUGAGGUGCGAAAGCGUGGGGAGCAAACAGG
This 253-nucleotide ribosomal RNA is filed under the name uncultured prokaryote. Its description in RNAcentral is "partial 16S ribosomal RNA". It matches the Rfam family "Bacterial small subunit ribosomal RNA", at positions 524 to 776 of the family's 1533-position model. The record is from RNAcentral.